AGGCUUGUAGCUCUAACUGGCAGAGCGCCUGACUCCAAAUCAGGAGGCUAGGAGUUCGAAUCUCUUCAAGCCUG
This 74-nucleotide transfer RNA is filed under the name Candidatus Collierbacteria bacterium RIFOXYD1_FULL_40_9. RNAcentral describes it as "tRNA-Trp". It matches the Rfam family "tRNA". Rfam says of the family: Transfer RNA (tRNA) molecules are approximately 80 nucleotides in length. Their secondary structure includes four short double-helical elements and three loops (D, anti-codon, and T loops). Lineage: Bacteria; Candidatus Collieribacteriota. The record is from RNAcentral.